GUGAGGAAUUUUCCGCAAUGGGCGAAAGCCUGACGGAGCAAUGCCGCGUGAAGGAUGAAGGCCUAUGGGUUGUAAACUUCUUUUCUCAGAAAAGAAUUAUGACGGUAUCUGAGGAAUAAGCAUCGGCUAACUCUGUGCCAGCAGCCGCGGUAAGACAUAGGAUGCAAGCGUUAUCCGGAAUGAUUGGGCGUAGAGCGUCUGUAGGUUGUUUAAGAAGUAUUCUGUCAAAGAUUAGGGCUUAACCCUAGAUAGGCAGAAUAAACUUUUAAGCUAGAGUUUGGUAGAGGCAGAGGGAAUGCUCGGUGGAGCGGUGAAAUGCGUAGAUAUCGGGAGGAACACCAAAGGCGAAGGCACUCUGCUGGGCAAAUACUAACACUGAGAGACGAAAGCGUGGGGAGCAAAUGGGAUUAGAUACCCCUGUAGUCC
This 426-nucleotide ribosomal RNA is filed under the name uncultured bacterium. RNAcentral describes it as "partial 16S ribosomal RNA". It matches the Rfam family "Bacterial small subunit ribosomal RNA", at positions 354 to 796 of the family's 1533-position model. The record is from RNAcentral.